UCUCCACGUAUGAUAGUAUCGUAGGUGAAGAAUAAGUAGUUUUCCAAAACCCGGAAGAACUUGUCUUCUUAGUAUGUCCUUCUCAUUGGCGUAAACACUGACUAAACUGAUUUUCCUUUUAUUUAAUUCUAUGUCAAACGAGCAUAGACGUUCGUACUCGUCGUGCCUGAAUCAUCAGUAAAUGAUUUGAUUUCACCUCAGAUGAUCAAAGUCUGAAAGUAUAACUAGUAUGGAGUCUUCUAAAAUUGCCAAAUUAAAUAGCCCAGCUCUGGAGGAGUAUGAACUGCUUGGAGAUCCAAAGUAUCGAUCUUAUGUUUCAGCUGUGGAUAAAGCAUUGAAGAAUUUUGAAUAUACAAGUGAAUGGGCAGAUCUAAUAUCUGCUCUUGGCAAGUUAAAUAAGGUUCUUCUCAGUCAUAUCAAGUACUCUGUGAUACCUCGAAGGAUAACCAUCAGCAAGCGACUGGCCCAGUGUAUGCAUCCUGCUCUACCUGGAGGUGUCCACCUUAAGGCUUUAGAGACUUAUGAUUUAAUUUUCAAGUGCAUUAAAACUGUUCGUCUCAGUCAAGAACUCUUUAUUUAUAGUGCUGGCCUCUUUCCACUCUUUGGAAAUGCUGCAAUGAAUGUAAAACCUGCACUUCUAACUAUAUAUGAGAAACACUUUAUUCCUCUUGGAGAGAUGUUACGUCCUGGACUAAAUGGAUUUUUGACUGGGGUACUUCCAGGGUUAGAAGAAGGAUCAGAAUAUUAUGACAGGACAGACUUAUUACUACAAAAAGUCAGUGAAGCAGUGGAGAGCAGUUACUUUUAUGGUUGCAUGUGGAAAUGUAUACUGUCCAAUCAAAGUGUACGAUUACCAGCUGUAGGUUUUAUAACAUCACAUUAUAACAAGAAAUUAAGUAUGGAAGACCAGCUUUAUCUCAUUGGAACAGAUAUUGAUACAAUGGUCCAAGCUUUAUGCGCAUCAGUACAGGAUUCUAGUGUUUUAGUUCAGAGAAGCACUCUGGACUUCCUUCUGUUAGGCUUUCCAAUGCAUAAUAGUCAGCUGGUAAAGACUGAUAUGGUUCGUGUGGUCACAGCUGCCAUUACUGUUUUGCUGCGAAGAGAUAUGUCACUAAAUAGACGCCUGUUUGCAUGGCUGUUGGGAACAGAAACCAAUUUAGCUAAAGGAGACCAGCACAUGGUUAAUCGGUCUGAGAGUGUGAACAGCACAGACUCUGAUGUCUACAAUCUCUAUUUUGAGACAAAUUCCAAAGAUCUUCUUUUGAAAGGGAUAAGAGUAUGCCUCCAUGAUCCUGUUUCUGUGUUAGCUUCACCAUUAGGCCAUUCUGUUUCUUCUGAUUUGUGGUCAUACCGCCUUCUCAUCAGUCUUUUGGAUAGACCAGAGAUUAGCACAAGCAUUUUGGAUGACAUUCUUAUAGAAGUUUUUAGAUCACUUUAUCAUGAGUGUUCUUCUCGACAAGGUUCCAUAUCAGUUGAAAGUACUGGAGAAAAACAUGGGAUAAAUAAGGACCAGAUAACUUCCAAAAACCAUAAGGAACUUGUCAAGACAGCAAAUCUGCUAUUUAGCACACUCGAACCUUGCUAUUUGUGGCAUUAUCUUGCUAGAUGUUUCCAAGAGAGCUGUCAUCGCAACAAAUGUGCAGAUAGUGGGAGCUAUUGUCCCAAAAGAAAUUCAACUGCUGUUGAGCAUGUUGGAGCAGGUCCACCAAAUAUUCAAGAAGUUGGUUGCCUUAUUGACUUUCUUUUAGAUGUUGUUUCUUUGGAAACAUAUCUUGAGACACCAACAGAGCAUCUUCCAGACUUGCUCAAUCAAUUAGGCAGUGCAUUAGCCGAACACUGUGAAGCCCUAUCUCCUAUGGAAAUAUGUGAUUCUCUGAAUGUGUGUUCCCAUAUCCUUAGUAAGGCUCAGCCCCUGUUUAUUAAUGUACCAACUGAGACUUUUCAUGAUUUUCAUGUUGCAAAAGAAACUUCAGAAUGUGAUAAACUGUCAUCUAGUUCUGUAGAAAAUAUUGAUAAUGAGAAAGACACCUCACUAGUACCAGAAGAGCAGUCAAAUCUUGGUUCAAAAAGCUGGGAAGAGAAACCAGCGGAGUUGACACUUGGUAUCCAAGAAUCAUCAUUACCUAAUAAACAUAAGCUUGAUAAUCAGAUUUCAUUAAAAGCAAAGAUUUCAGCUACAAAACUUCAGCACAAGUCACCUGUAACUCAAUGUAUAAAAAAGUUUCAGGAAUUUUUUAUUAAAUUUGUUAAAAAUAGAAUCCUGAAAGACUCGGAAGAAGCUGUAGCUUGUUUUUUGAAACUAUGGCUUAGCAGAAAAACCAGUGAAAAGACAAGGAAUGAAAAACUUGAUCAGCUUCUCAACAUGUGUUUACAAGAUAGCAGGUUUCAUGGAGUACUUGAUGAUGGAACCAAUUUCCUCAUUAAUCUUUAUGAUAAGCACGUGGAAAACUUGCCAGAAGCUAUUUUAAACAAAAAUGCAGUUCAACUUUCAGAAGAAGCUCAUGCAUUUUUGGAAAGUUUUCAGUCAAUUUGCCAGCUUCUUGUGGAUAUGUCUUCCUUUCCAACAUUCUGUACCUCAGACAAGACUCUAUUAGAAACAGUUGUGGAAGAUAAUGACACUUCACUACCAGAGUGGCUACAGCUGCUAUUGGUUCUAGCCUGUUUUUUGAAUGAAGAGAAUUUCCUUUUCACUUCUAUGAUGACAGCACUUGAUCUGAUAGCUCUGACCAAGUCAAUGACCAUUCAGACUGAUCCUGAGUCACUAUCCACCUCCUCAGCACUCCAGACUUCAUCGUCAUCAGGUGUUGUUUCAGUAGUUAUUGUACCAACCAUUCCAAAGUCAAAUCUGCAGUUCUUGGGAGAAGAAACAGUGUUUUAUCAAGUAGCUACUGCCAAACUGUGGCAUUUCUUGGCUGCAAGUAGUUCAAGACUUCAUCUCCGAACUGUUCACUUGUUACAGCAGCUACACAACCUGGCACCAACUGGGGAUAUCUGUGAAAUUGUGAUGUGUAGAGCCUUAGUUGAUGAAAAGGAACAGGUUCAGAUAGAAGCUCAGAAAAAGUUCUGUGUUUUGUGGCAUCUCACUCGAGAUCUUCGACUAAAAUCAACUCCAAGUAGCAUGAUGAGAGCUUUUGAUAGGUGCUUGUUCCUGCUUUUGGAUAGUCUAGGUAGGGAAACAGGUCCCCAGAAAUCUGUUGCACAGGGCUGGUUAAACCAUGCUUUACAACGUGGGGACAUUGCACGGAUCCUUGAACCCAUUUUGCUGAUUCUUCUUCAUCCUGACACUGCCAGAGUGUCUAUUCAGCAUGUGAAUGUUCACCACUCUCAUAAACUUAGGGUCACAGAUCAAAAUACUAAGGAAGAAGGAAGUAUUGAGACUAAGAUUUAUGCUAUAAGCAGUGAAGGAGGGAAUGUUAUCUACCAUGUUAAUGAUGAGUGUGUUUCACCUUCUCAGCAGAACAGCCCAGAAAAGAAAAUCCUUGCUCUUACAUCAAUUAUUAACAUGGAAAACAAGAGAGGGUCAAAGUUUAUCACUGCCAAGUCAUUGAUUCAAGACUUGGAACUUCCAUAUUGUCAUGAGCGAGAUGCCUCACUUCCAAUAUCUUUAUUUGUGAAUCCUUUUGGGUCUUUAACAUCCUUAACAAGUGAUGCUAUGGGAGAGACAACAGGUACCCCAGAUUUAAGUAAUGCUAAAAGAAUUGAUGCAUCAUAUAUUGCAAGAAAAAGUAGUUCAUUUGAUGAUUGUGAGAUGUGGUCAGCAGCUGAAUUAAUGGAAAGCAAACAGUCAGAUGUGAAUGAAAUUGUUGCAGCUAUUGUCUCUGAACUUGUUACUGCUGUUGUUGAAGGUGAAAAGGAAGAAAAAACAACUGAGAGUUCAGCAUCAUCUUCAGAAUAUGGUUUGGAUGAUGUGUUUAUGGAUAAUGACAGCCAAAAUAGUGAGAAGUCUGGUGGAACAGUUGUAAAUGAGAUUAGUAGACAGCAGAAUGAUCAAGAAGGAAUUUGCAAGUCUCAAGAAGUAACCAUCCACCCUCUUCAUAGUCAUCUGCUUUUAUAUUGUCAAGUAUAUGAUUCUAAAAAAACACUAUAUGCCUUAUCCUCUUUAAAAGCAGUUAUACUAACAAACCCUCGAAUUGCUUUGUGUAACAUGGCCACUACCAGCAUUAGUAGCUCUUUGAGCUACCGGGGUCAACAUCUUCAAAAUCUAAUGGCUCGCCACCGCAAAUCAGUUCUUGGUAACAAUUUCAAUGGGGACCAAAGUAACGAGUCUGCUACUGCUUACCGUAGUAGCAUGUUUGUAGAAGUGGUUGUCUCUGUCUGCUUGUAUUACAUUCGAAGCUACUAUCCUAACCUGCCUCAAGUCCAUCUUACCACAGAAGAAAUUAUUGGGAACCGAAAUGUUCGAUUGCUUUGCAUUGAGGUUCUUACUUUAGUUUUCUCUGAGCUUGUAGCUAUUGUCAGAGAUAGUGGUAAAAGUUUUGCUAUCUAUCUAAAUGAUCUGCUGUUAAGGUGUAAGGUACAGAAAACACUCCUUCACUGUUUAGUAGCUAGUGUAGUAAAUUUUCAAACUAAACACUUCUCUGAUGAAGAAACUUUCACUGAAACUAUUGUCAAGUUUAAUGAACUUUGUAUGACGGAAGGUGAAGAUUCAGGAGAAUGUGGAUUCCAAGACACUUUUCUUGUACACAUAUUGAGACUUAUAACUACUCUGAUUGUGCUGGAGAAUCAGGUUUCCAUUUGGAGUACGUCUGAAGGAUCAGGGACUAAGGCAGACCCAAGACCAUCAAAAAUCCAGUUGCAAGCACAGAUGUCUUCUGUUAAGUACCAACCAGGAAUCUCAAUUCCAUCGCAGCCCAUGUUCCUCACAGCCCUUCUUUGUGCUUUGAGACAACACCAUAAGGCUCAUCUUCACACACACUGGCUCAGUUUGCUUAUAUCUUCAUUGAGAUUUGCUGGUCGUUCUCUCACUCAUCUUGUCCUUUCUGUGGUCAGCCAGCUUUGUCACAACUUAGAAGAUGCUGUUAAAAUUCACAUUAUCACAGAAGAUUGUAUUAGGGAACAAUCUGCAUCUAAAGAAGAAUUUCAUGCUCCUCCAGACUAUUUGGUUACAUUAGUAGAGAGCUUGACAACACUCACUCACUACUGUCUACUGGAUACACCUGCUCCAAUCUCCACCCCUGUUAAUCAGCCACUGUUGCCACCUAUGCCUUCUCAACCAUAUGCACCUGGAAUCAAUGCCUCGCAGAUCAUAUCCAACCUUUUGCAUGUCUUCUCUACUUCAGACUCUCAGAAAGAUCAGUCAGCAACUAGGGAACCAGGGAGUGCCCUUGAUCCAAUUCUUACAACCCGCCGAGCUCUUUUGAGCAACAUGCCUCGUAUUUUGGCUGCCCUUACAUUAGUCUGGCAAGCUGUUACUGAGUCAGAGAAGAAUAGCCAAAAUCAACCAGUCUCGUGGUGGAUUAUGGGCUCUUCAAAGACUGUGAAACAGAAUAUUCUCAGUCUCCUCAGUCCUAUUGCUCUACACCAUGGGAUCAGCUUUAUGGCUGCUGUUGCUGUAGUUUGGUAUGAUAGAAGACACAAAGGUACUUUUCCCACAAGAAAGGUGAUUCCACCCUGGACCCAAAGUCAGCUUUUGCUAGUGGAGUUAGUAGCAGCUAUAAAAGUGGUUCCUAUGGAGUCUGUAGUUCAAACUGUUCGACAAGUAAUUAAACAACCACCUCCAACAUCUCAUGACAAGAAUAAAAGAGCUCCACUUGAAGUUAGUAUGCUUCAGUUCUUCCUGACAUAUGUUCAGAAUACUCCUGGUAGCCAGUUGGUGGAGUCAUUCCAGUCUUUGUUGGGUUUGUGGCGUGAUGGUUUACAACUUACUUCUCUACCACCUGUUCAAUUUCACCUUCUAGUUAUCUUGCAUGAAUUUGUCCAGCGUGCACCACUUCUUGAAGAAAAAAAAGACCAGAAAGAGCUGCAGGACAUAGCACAAAAACUAGUAGAAGCCUGCAGCACAAUAGCAGCAGCAAGCUUAGAGCAGACGACCUGGCUACGACGGAACCUUGCUGUGCGACCAGGACCUCAACAAGAUCUUCCAGUCUCCAAUGAAGAAAACAUUACACAAACAACUUCUUCAAAUUCAGUUGGAAACUUGGUUCAUGUAGCCACUAUUCACAAUACCAGUAGUUUGACUUCCUUUGUUGGUCAAUACACUGUCCAAGCAUUGUUUGUUCUUGCUGAGUUUCUGAUUCCUGUUUUGGACAUUGUAUAUGUAAGUGAAGAAAAGGAAAAAGUAAUUCCUCUACUGACAAGCAUUAUGUACUAUGUGACACCAUAUCUUCGUAACCACAGUACUCAUAAUGCACCAAGUUUCCGAGCAUGUUCUCAGCUUCUUGCAAGUAUGUCUGGUUAUCAGUACACCAGAAAGGCCUGGAAGAAGGAUGCUCUGGAACUCUUCAUGGACUUAGUGUUCUUCCAAAUGGACAUUACAUGCAUGGGACAUUGGAGAGCUAUUAUUGAUCAUCUGAUGACCCAUGACAAGACAACCUUCAGAGAUUUUCUGGCUCGGGCUUCCAUGGCUCAUCCAGGCUCCCUCAAUCUCUUCAGUAGCAAGGAGCAAGAGUACGAGCAGAGAUCUCAGUUGCUGAAAAGAUUGGCAUUUGUUCUGUUCUGUAGUGAAACUGAUCAGUAUCAAAGGUACAUGCCAGAUAUACAGGAGCGUCUAGCAGAAAGCCUGCGGCUACCACAAGUGCCAUCAGUCCAAGCUCAGGUGUUUCUGUGCUUUCGUGUCCUAUUGCUGAGGAUUUCUUCGCAUCACUUGACCUCACUUUGGCCUGUGAUAGUCACUGAAAUGGUCCAGGUGUUUUUACAAAUUGAGCAUGAACUUAUGACUGAUACAGAAGAGUUCAGAAGGGUUCCCAGCUCACAUCUUCGUCGUCUCUCAACUCUUGACAGCUCGUGGGUGACCAGUACAAGCAAUGGAUUAAAUGCUCAUAACAACCCAGCAUGGCUACAACUGUAUCUUUCUGCUUGUAAGCUAGUUGAUUUAGCUGUAGCCUUACCUGCUGACAUGUUGCCACAGUUUCAAAUGUAUCGCUGGGCUUUUGUUGGUGAUAGCCCUCCUCUUUCCUCAGAAAACCAGUGCAAUAAUAACAUUGAUAGGAAUGGAACUUCUGAUUUCAUACCUCAUAUUGUUAGAUUGGCAAGGUUGAUUAACACAAGGGUGAAAGGCUAUGAACAUAAAACUUAUGUUCCUGGAUGCCUCCUGCUAAAGAUGAACACCAUCAACUCCUUAAACCAGCUCCAACCAUUCUUCAAUGCUCUUGCUGAUGUACAUGUUAACCAAGCAAAGCAACCACCUGUUAAACAACAAAACUUUGCUACAGAUCAGGAGUUUCCUACCAUUAGCAUAACCAAGUCAAGAUCAGCACCAGACCUCAGUGAAACGAACCAAUUAGGUAAUCUUCUAGAGGACUGUAAGCCACUGACUAUUGUCCAACAAAUUGAAUGUGUGAUGGAACGUGAUUUUUUAGAGCCACGGAUGUCUUCAUGAUAACAUCCUUCACUAUUUAUAGUGUUGGUAGUUAUUCAAGACGAAACAAAAAAACCCUGAUCUGCACUGACCAGCAUGGUUUAUUUUCAUAAGGAAAAAUUGUUUAUAUUUGUAACUUAUAAAAAUGUCUUAGCCAAACAAAAACAGCAUAUAGAAAGAAAAUGUUAUUAACUUUUGUUAAGGUAAUGAGAAAAUGUAAUUCAAUCUCAGGAAACAUUUCUUUACACAGAUAAUGUUACUAAUGAGACCAUAAGACAUACAUUACACUACCAUUGUUGACUAAAAAUUAAAUUCUGUAUAUAUGCAUAUAUCUAUAUUUGAAUUUAAUGAAUAUGGUGUACAAUUUUAACUUUCAUGUUGUUUACUAUAUUUAAUCUGAUGAACAGUGUGUGUGACACAAUUUCUUCAACAGUCAGAGAAAAUAUAAUGGUAAAAAAAUCACAGUUUGGAUGAACUAUCAUUGAAAACAUUCAGAUAGUACAUGUAGGAGUGUAGUUUGUUUUCAGGAGUUUUUUGUGUAAUUUGAAAGUUAGUUGUAAAUUAAUUAAAAGCUGCUGAUACAGGAUAAAUGAUAUAUUGAAAAUGUUAUUCAUGUCACCAGGUGUAAAAAUACUUUUUAUCUUUAGAACUACUUGUGAAAAUAACACAAUUUCUUGAUGCACACAUCCUCUUUCCUGUUACUUGGGUCUAUAGAAACGUUUUGGCACAGUCACCUUUGUAGGUUUCAUGCAGUUUGAAUGUUAUAACUUUUUUUUACUGCUCUAUUACAAACAACCAAACCCCAUAAACCUAAUUGGUGAAUUUAUUUGUUAGAAGGGCAGAAUGAUUAAAUGUGAGACCAGCUGAAAUUCUAUAAAACAAAUCAGUACUAUUUAGUCCAUGGUCAGUAAAAGAAAGGAUGAUGUUUUAAAAGGUAAAACAUUUCAAAGGAGAUUUAUCAAAUGUAUACAAUUGCAUUGACAAAGCUUUUUACUGUGUACAUGUGAGGAAAGAGAGAGUUUUUGAAAGUAUGAGCUUAUGAAGGGAAAUGCAGGUGUUAUAGAAGCAGUGUAUCAAUUGUAGAUGAAGGGAAAUGCAGGUGUUAUAGAAGCAGUGUAUCAAUUGUAGAUGAAGGGAAAUGCAGGUGUUAUAGAAGCAGUGUAUGGUUGUAGAGAGAAAAAAAUUUGCAUAGUUUUUAACUUAAAGGUGUCUAUGCAAACCACUCAGCAUUCAUUGAUAUCUCACCAAAUGUUACAAUAGGCUUCUAAUGAAGCCUAGAUUGUAUAACAGAAAUAUAUAUUAAUGCUUUUCAAGUUGAUGCUUAGCUUAUUAUUUGUUUUCAUUUUUAGUCUGUAUAUCCAAUUUCAUUUUAUUUAUAUAUUAAAAGCAAAGGUACAACAUUUUGAAAUUACUGUCAAGUGAUAUAUAGGUGAAGGAUGAAAAUGUCAAACAUAAACUGAAUUGAAUCUGUAUUAAAUGUUUUAGCUGAAAAUGACUAAAAAGUAUAUCUGUCAGGUAUUGUCCAUCAUUAUCAUAAAAAAUGAGUCCAGGUUUUUUUUAAAUAGAUGAAUAUCAUUGAGUAAUUUGUCUUUCCUGGACGCUUCUCAGUAAGUCUUGGGGCUCAUACUGCUAAAAACUGGGUUUCAAUACUCGUGGUGGGCAAAGCAAAGAUUGCCCAUCAUAUAGCUUUAUGUUUAAUAACAAACUUUCCUGGAUUAAGCAUUCUUUCUCACCAAACCUAUAAAAAAAUACUUACAUUCCUCUCCUUUCUCUCAACCUGUUGUUUAAGGCUUAAUGCUAGUUUUUAUGCAUUCAUUUAGAAAAUUUCAAAAUGGAAAAUAAUAAUUUAUAAUUCAGUUUUUGAAAUGUUUAAAAACUUAAAAUGCCUUCAGUCUUCAAAAAGAAAUACCAAAACUACAAAAUUUUUAUGAAGUAUCAAAAUAAAGUUUUAAUGGAGAAAUUAUUGAAAUGCAAAAUCUAAAAUUAAACUUGUAGAAUAAAGUUCCUCUGAUGUUGGUCUUGUGAUUUAAAAUAGAAAAACAAAUUUAUUUCCGUAAAAGUAACAUUUCAGGUAAGUACUCAUCAGGCUAAUAGAACUAACUACACAGAGCUAGAAUCAGAUUGUAUGAUAAAAACAUUAAACUUCAAAUCUUCCUAUGUAUUAAGCAUGUGCAAGUCCAACAAAUGCCACAUUUUUAAACACAAACUAACUUUUUGUUUAAUGGCCUCAUCUGAAUUACAGCCGAUAUAUAAAAACUUGUACCACACAUAUAUUAAUGUCUCGCCAAAUACGAUCACAAGGUUGUAACCUAAUCUUAUGAAAAGUCUAAGUCUAUUAACAAAAAUAUAUGUAUACAAAUAUCUGCACUGAAUUUUAAAGAUUUCCAAAUUAUUUAAAUAGCAGUAAUCCAUAUCAAGAAAGUGAUAAUUACCUAAAAUAUAUGGUAAAAGUAAGAAUGUUGAAUGGUAACUUAAUUAUAUGAUAGAAGUGAAGGGUAUCUUAAAUAUAUAAUAAAAGUAAGAAUGCUGAUGGGUAACAAAUAUGUAUGAUAAAAGUAAGAAUGCUGAAUGGUAACAAAUAUGAAUGCUGAAUGGUAACAAAUAUGUAUGAUAAAAGUAAGAAUGCUGAAUGGUAACAAAUAUGUAUGAUAAAAGUAAGAAUGCUGAAUGGUAACAAAUAUGUAUGAUAAAAGUAAGAAUGCUGAUGGUAACAAAUAUGUAUGAUAAAAGUAAGAAUGCUGAUGGGUAACAAGUAUGUAUGAUAAAAGUAAGAAUGCUGAUAGGUAACAAGUAUGUAUGAUAAAAGUAAGAAUGCUGAUGGGUAACAAAUAUGUAUGAUAAAAGUAAGAAUGCUGAAUGGUAACAAAUAUGUAUGAUAAAAGUAAGAAUGCUGAUGGGUCACAAAUAUGUAUGAUAAAAAUAAGAAUGCUGAUGGGUAACAAAUAUGUAUUAUAAAAGUAAGAAUGCUGAAUGGCAACAAAUAUAUACAGGGUUCAUACUGCCAAUGCCAAAAAGAAUUCCAAGACUUUUCCAGUACCUCAAAUACAAAUUUCCAGGUGUGUUCUAAUAUGUAAGGAAUCUAACAUACAUUUUCAGUAACACAUUUUAAUGAUUAUGUAAGAUAUAAUACAAUUAAGGAAAUGUGUAAAUGAUCAAAAAAUUCCACUUUUAUUAUAAAAACAUAGCACUGAUAAGUGUUCUUUAGCUUUCAGCUAUUAAUGAUAGAUAUACAACUCAUAAUUUUGUGCACAAUUAUUUGUUCCAUAGCUCUUUCAGUUUCAAGUCCACUUCUUAGAGCUCUGCUAAUUCCUGACUUUUAGAUUUUGUUGUCUUCUUCAGACUAUUUGAUUGUGUUAUUAGAGUAAACUUUCUGCUUGAUUUGCUGGUUCAUCUGCUUUUUGUUCAAGUUCUUUAUCAGUCAGUAGUCUUGCUUGCUUUUUCUUCAACUCAUCAAUGUUAUCCAAAAGAAUUUGCCUUUUCAUGCUUUGCUUUUCACAUAACUUCUCCUUUAUACUUUGCUUUUGCAGAUGAAGCUGCUACUAUCAUAUUUGGGAUUAUAGGAAUGUUCAGAAUUCCCCCAGUUUUAUCAAUAUGGUUCUUUAUAAUUCUUUGAUCCACAAAUGAUUAUUCUCACAGGUUUUCUCUUUUCAAUGCUUUGUUCACUGAAAAUCCCCGCUUGAUGACCAUGGGAUAGAACCGAAGCAAGUCUCACAAUAUGUCAAACCUUGGCAUAUUACAUUUUGCCAGGUGCAGAGAACAAUCCACAGAAGAAAGUGUCCAAACUCGUGUUUCCAGAAUUGAAGUCCAUAAAAACAGCAUUCUCCUUAGGAACCUUAUCGGAAAGAAGCCGCCUGAAUGCAACCAUGUUAUGGUCACACAAGAUUAUUAAUACUUGCUUCAUUUGAGACACACAUAGAUCAGGAUCAUUUGAUUUGGAUUCAAACACUGUAGAUUCCUCACCACAGAAUACUUGAUUGUUGCCUUCAGCUAUAGUUUCUGUACUAUUGCUUAUGUAAAUUCUUUGAAAUGCGAUCCUAAAUUCCAUUGCCUGCAAAGAUGAUACUUAAGCAGUUUUCAGUGCCUGUUCUGCUUCAAUGCUCACAUCCAUUUUAUUGUGGGCCACUUGAAGUUCUUUUUUUCUAAACAUCAAGGGCAAUGAGUUUCUUUCAUGUCUUACUUGCUUUCUCAGUUUAUUCAUGUUUGAUGAAUAUUUCCAGCAUUUCUGCCAUGUAGUUAGCUAGAAAAGGUAGCAUGGGCCUGUCUGUCUGAUCUAUAGUGAGGAAGGGAUUUAUCAUCUUCGCAACCCUUUUGAAGAAGACUAUUAUCCCACAGUAAAUUAAUGGAUCAUCACAUGACUUCUUAACCACAUCAAAGGAUCUUGUCCCUGUGUUUGUCAGGUUCUUCUGAACAACUACUUGUAAAUACAACUUAAUAUUUGGCCAGACCUCGAGUGCUCUCUCUCUGACCACCAUCAAAUUUUCUAGACAUCUGUGCCGACAAAACGUCUUAGGACGUCAACUGGUGUAUCUUUAAAUAACCAGUAAAGGUUGCUGAGGGUGUGAUACAUUCCACUAUAAUGUAGCUACUCCAUCUUUGAAAGCUCCAUGUAUGUUGUGUAAGCCACAACUUCCAAUGUCCAACAAUUUUGUGUGAUGAUCUUUUUCCAACUGUGAUUGGAAAUUCCAGUUUAUAGCUGGACCAUCCAUGGACAACUGGAAAAGAGAAGAUAUAUUUCUCUUUAGCUGCUCUAUUCCAUGGUUAAAAAAAGAUACCAUAUCAUUUGCUGUGGCAUGUCCAAAAAACUCAGAAGUCAGAUAACGUGCAACUACUUUGUCAUUAUCCUACAUCCUCAUAUGCACAUCAAGUUGUUUUCUCUUUGUAACUUUGUUUAGUGACUCGUAACAUAAAGUCUCUACUUUUCUUCAUUGACAUUUGCUCUAUUAAUAAACUUCUGAAAUAGGGAGCCAAUCUAAACUGUAUCGUGUUGGAACACUUCCUACAUGACAAUGCAAAGGUUUGAGCAGUGGUACUGUCUGGAAACAUAGACUUAAACAGGUUUGGUUGGACCACUGCAUGAAUAGUUUGAUGCCACAAUAUUUCAGCUUGCAGGACAUCAUUCCCUCCAAUAUAUGAGGAAACUGAGGUUCUUCUAGUUGCUGUUGAAUUCUUACCAGUCUCAUCCUCCACAAUCCCUAUGGUCUGUGUAUAAAGAACCAUUCAAAUUAUGCAUAGCACAGUACUAUUCAUGAUUAUAAAAUAUAUGCAUUUAUUUAUGUUGUAUUAAUUUUUUGAUAAAAUUGUCAUAAACUAGAUCAGCAAAAACAAUUAAAAUUGGACUAUAUACUUAUACUUAUAGUUACUUGGCUAUUUUGAAUAAACAAAAUAUAUACAAUGAAUUUGAUAAACAAUUUAUUUGUUUAUAAAAUUUCUUUUAUUUAUUUAUGUAGUUAGCUUUUCAACAUUUCCAUGUGUUUCCUUUUGCAUGACUGCCGGCUCUCCCAUGUUUGACACAUUGAAUGAUUUCAUGCACACCUUACAAAAUGCGUUUGACUUUGAGUCUUUGUUAGGUCCCGGCCAAUCUGGCUUGUCUAUGCAUAAAUCAUUAAAAACACUUUCUGCACAACAUCACAAUUUUAAGUGUGUGCUCAAGCGUAUGACCAAGGACGUGCAUGAAAGAUCAAUGUGAGCACAGCACCAUUUGCAAGGGUUCUAGUAUGCAUGCACACCUGCAGUUGAGUUUGACUGGGCACUUGGAAUAUCUAUAGGCCCCUACUGUGCGUAGUAGGCCUACUGGCUAGAUUAUGAAUGAAUUUGUAACUAGUGUACCAUUUUCACUUUGUAGCUGUGAAAAAAACCAAAUAAAUAUUCUUUGUUACACAUCUAUACAUACACGUGUCCAGGGUAUGUAUGAACCCUGUAUAUAUAUGAUAAAAUUAAGAAUGCUGAAGGGUAACUUAAAUAUAUUAAAAAAGUAAAACUGCUGAAGGAUAACUUAAAUAUAUGUUAAAAAAAGUAAGAAUACUGAAAGGUAACUGAACUAUGUGAUAAAAGUAAAACUGCUGAAUGAUACAAAUAUAUAUGAUAAAGUAAGAAUGCUGAAAGAUAACAACUAUAUGAUAAAAGUAAAACUGCUGAAUGAUACAAAUAUAUAUAUGAUAAAGUAAGAAUGCUAGAAAGACAACUAUAUGAUAAAAGUAAAACUGCUGAAUGAUACAAAUAUAUAUAUGAUAAAGUAAGAAUGCUGAAAGAUAACAACUAUAUGAUAAAAGUAAAACUGCUGAAUGAUAGAAAUAUAUAUGAUAAAGUAAGAAUGCUGAAAGAUAACAACUGUAUGAUAAAAGUAAAACUGCUGAAUGAUACAAAUAUAUAUGAUAAAGUAAGAAUGCUGUUUAUGUAAAUUAAUGUUAUUUUUAAAUAUGUUCUACAAAGAGUAAGUUAAUUAAAACAUUGAGUUUAUGUAGUUUAGACCUCUUCCCAGGUUGUGGAGGAGAAACAAAACAUGGCAAGACUUAAUUGGAUCUUUGUAUUAAAUAUGUGUUUUGGCUAAGAAAAUACUAUCUUUAAUGUAGUCAUUAAAUAGAGCUUGUUUCAUAU
Molecule: unclassified non-coding RNA, 14110 nt
Filed under: Limulus polyphemus (Atlantic horseshoe crab)
Lineage: Eukaryota; Metazoa; Arthropoda; Merostomata; Xiphosura; Limulidae
Description: protein dopey-1-like, transcript variant X7
Source: RNAcentral